AUGCUAGAAAGAUUAUCCAAACAUACACAUUUUUGCUUUCUAGAUGGUUACUCUGGUUUCUCUCAAAUACCUGUGUCAACUGAGGAUCAAGAAAAGACCACUUUUACUUGCCCUUUCGGUACUUUUGCUUACAGACGUAUGCCUUUUGGUUUAUGUAAUGCACCUGCUACCUUUCAAAGAUGCAUGAUGGCUAUAUUCUCUGACUUCUGUGAAAAGAUUUGUGAGGUUUUCAUGGAUGAUUUCUCCGUUUAUGGAUCCUCUUUUGAAGAUUGCUUGAGCAACCUUGAUCGAGUUUUGCAGAGAUGUGAAGAAACUAAUCUUGUCUUAAAUUGGGAGAAAUGCCACUUUAUGGUUAACGAAGGCAUUGUCUUGGGGCAUAAAUUUUUUGAAAGAGGUAUUGAAGUUGAUAAAGCUAAAUUUGAU
RNAcentral lists this ribosomal RNA (423 nucleotides) under Triticum aestivum (bread wheat). RNAcentral's name for it is "partial small subunit ribosomal RNA". Lineage: Eukaryota; Viridiplantae; Streptophyta; Magnoliopsida; Poales; Poaceae. The record is from RNAcentral.